GAAACUGUGAACUCGUAAACGGAAUAAACUGAUUGUGAAUGUAUAAUGCAACUACAGCAUCGUCAUUUCGUGACUACUCAGUUUGAACAGCUUUUGUUCUUUCAAUUUUUGUUUAGAAUUUAUUUAUUCUUUCAAUUUCAACAGCUUGUUGCAUUUUGUUGCUGUAAACAUUCUAUCUGCAAUUUCAAAUAAUUGCUAUAAUACGACACAAAUUGGCCGAAUUGAAUUGAAAUAUAUGGGUUUGGAUCAGUUCGGUUCAAUCAACACCACGGUCCAGGUCGGUUGAUAAAUAUAAUUAAUUCCGUUCGAAAUCGAACCUACUGAUUGUACAUCCCUACAAUCCUCCACCUUCUAUGUAAACAUGCAUAGCUUUUUAGCGCUCCCUGGUGAAAGAUUUCAGUUGCUAAUUCGAAAGCUGUUUCUAUAACUAGAUUUGUAUGAGGGAUUGACAAUAACCAGUCGAAAGGUUUGAAGGAAAUUCUGAUCUACAUGGGCAAUAAAACUGGUGGGAGGAAAGGGCAUGAGGGAGAGAAAAUGAACAAUGGAGUGCAUUCCUCGAAGGAUGUAAAUGCUUGUGCAAAUUCAUCAGUUGUGAGUACGGGGGAAGGUUUGACUUUGAGUAAUGAGCAUAAGAAAAAGAAGACUAAGAGGCAUGAGGCUAAUGGUGAUGACGUUGAGCUAAGUGCUACUGAUACUGGGGCUGUUGGCCUAGAUGGUGACAUAGAUCUAAGUAAUCAUGAGAUAGAGAAGAAUAGGAAGAAGAAGAAGAAAAGGAAAUCAAAGAAGAUUAAUGCUGAAUCUGAUGUAGUAUCUCAGAAAGUUAGGAAGCGAGACAAGGCAUGUGAUGCUGGUUGGGAAAUUGGUGCAAGUAAAGAAAAUUUGAAGGAGGGUCACACUGGAGUAGGGGAGAAGGUGAGCUUGCAGAAGGAUGGCAAGAAGUAUAUGGAGCGCAAUUUUGAGUCCGGAGUACUAAAAUAUAGAAAAAAGAAGCACAAGGAGAAAAAGAGCAAAGAUAAAAAUGAAAAUGGAAGAAAUCACCUGGAUGAAAAUAUCAUGGACCAUGAUGAGUCUGCAAGGAUGGAGAGGAAGCAAAAGAAGCAGCAGCUUAUUGUUAAUUUGGAGGCUAAAUCACUGAAACUCAUGGCUGAAACACCUGGUAAUUUUAGCAAUGCAAUAGAGGAAAAUGGAGGUAAUAUAGAUUCAGGUGAAGAUGAAAACCUAGGUGCUCAUGCUUUUAAUGCAGAAGACGGAAGAAAAGAUGAAAGGAAGAGAAAGAAACGAAAAAGAGAUAAGGAUGUUAGUGAUACAGGGACAAUGAUUAAUGAAAUUAAUCAAAAAGAUGUUGGAAAUAUUAUGGAAAAGGUUCAGCAUUCAAGGAAGAAGAGUAAAAAAAGGGAAAAACAUAAUGUUGAUUUGGCAGCUGCAUUGCAGGAGACAAUGAAUGGGAAAUUAGGUAAUAAAAGUAAUCCAAUGGGAGAAAAUGAAGGUAAUGAAUAUUCAAUUGAAAAUAAAGUGGGAGGUGGAAAAAUAGAAGACCAUACUGUUAAGAAAGUCAAGAAGAAGAAGGUCAAGUCAGUUGUAAAUGGUUCAGAAGGAAAAGGUAGUGAUAGAGAACAGAGAAUGGGCAAAGGUGUCGAGGGUACCAAUCCAUUGGAAAAGUCUACACUGAAAGGGACAUCUAAGAGAGUAAGUUUUUCUGAACAGGUGGAGGUUUUCCCUUUAUCUGAUGAUGGUCCAAGCAGUAAUACUGUUCAGAAAGAGGAAGUGGUGCGAGGGAAGCGAUUCUCACAUGAGGAAGAUGAGAUGGUUAAAGAGGCUGUUUUGAACUACAUGGAUGCUCAUGGAUUAGGUGAAGAAGGCCUACAGAUGGUUCUGAACUGUAAAAAGUACCCUGAACUUAAAAAUUGUUGGAAGGAAAUAGGGGCAGCCUUACCUUGGAGGCCUUAUUUGAGUGUCUAUAAUCGAGCCCAUAUCUUGUUUGAAAGGGAUGAAAAAGGAUCUUGGACCCCAGAAGAGUAUGAACUCGUGCAUAAGUUUCAUGAGAAACAUGGUUCUGAUUGGAAAACUUUGGCUGAAGCACUUGGCAAACAUAGGAUUCAUGUGAAGGAUACAUGGCGUAGAAUAAAAGUUAUCAAUAGGAGAAGGGGAAAGUGGUCCCAAGAUGAGUACCAGAAUUUAUUUGAUUUGGUGAACAUGGAUUUGCGUAUGAAAGCUUGUGAGGAAAUGAAAUCAUCCAAACAUGGAAUGUUGCGAGAUAAUAUCUGUUGGACAGCAAUCAGUGAGAAGUUGGGGACUAGAGCUACUCCCAUGUGCUGCAUGAAAUGGUAUCACCAGUUAACUUCACCUAUGGUAGCUGAAGGUAAAUGGCUUGAUGUAGAUGACUACCAUCUUGUGAUUUCACUUUAUAACUUGGACGCUUGCUGCAUUGAAGAUGUAGACUGGGACAAUCUUUUGGAUCAUAGAUCUGGUGAUUUGUGCCGAAAGAGAUGGAACCAAAUGGUCAAACACAUUGGGGAGCAUGGGAAUAAGUCAUUUGCUGACCAGGUUGAAAUUCUUAUAGAGCGAUACUGCCCAGACGUGCUUGAAGCAAGAGAGGCUUAUAAUAGCGUACCUGUAGUUCCCUGAGUUUAUGGUCCUUUUUUUCCUCUUUUUUUAGGUUCUUUUGUAAUGUUCAGAAGCCUAAAGAUGUUGCAAUCUGCACAUCUACACGGGGUUGGGAACAUUGGGUUGUUAUGUACUGGUAUAAAGUUUUUCGUGGCCCCGAUUUAGUUUGGGACUGAUAGUAGUCUGAUUAUAGGAAUCUCAUGUUGCAAAAAGAAUUGAUUGCACAAGCUCAGAAAAUCUUUUAUGAUUC
Molecule: unclassified non-coding RNA, 2854 nt
Filed under: Hevea brasiliensis (rubber tree)
Lineage: Eukaryota; Viridiplantae; Streptophyta; Magnoliopsida; Malpighiales; Euphorbiaceae
Source: RNAcentral